UCGGCCAGCCAUCUUCACGAAUUCUUCUUGCGCCAGUUCUGUGAUGCACACACAUGUAGCGGAAAGCCAAAACCUUUCUCCAGAGGUCGACAGGCUAGGACGAGUGCGUUCUACAUUGUGAUUUCAGUUUUGACAGUCCUUUUUGUGCUGUUUUUCUAUGUCUUCAUUUACUUGUAUAAGAGGGGAAUGAGAACUCGACCACAG
This 204-nucleotide unclassified non-coding RNA is filed under the name Hevea brasiliensis (rubber tree). Lineage: Eukaryota; Viridiplantae; Streptophyta; Magnoliopsida; Malpighiales; Euphorbiaceae. The record is from RNAcentral.